RNAcentral lists this ribosomal RNA (253 nucleotides) under uncultured bacterium. Its description in RNAcentral is "partial 16S ribosomal RNA". It matches the Rfam family "Bacterial small subunit ribosomal RNA", at positions 524 to 776 of the family's 1533-position model. The record is from RNAcentral.
UACGGGGGGUGCGAGCGUUGUCCGGAAUCACUGGGCGUAAAGGGCGCGUAGGUGGCUUUGUAAGUUUGCGGUGAAAGCCCGGGGCUCAACCCCGGGUCUGCCGUGGAUACUGCAAGGCUUGAGUACUGUAGAGGCAGGUAGAAUAUCGGGUGUAGCGGUGGAAUGUGUAGAGAUCCGAUAGAAGACCGGUGGCGAAGGCGGCCUGCUGGGCAGUAACUGACACUGAGGCGCGACAGCGUGGGGAGCAAACAGG